Molecule: ribosomal RNA, 250 nt
Filed under: uncultured bacterium
Lineage: Bacteria
Description: partial 16S ribosomal RNA
Rfam family: Bacterial small subunit ribosomal RNA
Source: RNAcentral
UACAGAGGGUGCAAGCGUUAAUCGGAAUUACUGGGCGUAAAGAGUGCGUAGGCGGAUAUUUAAGUCAGAUGUGAAAGCCCCGGGCUUAACCUGGGAAUUGCAACUGAAACUGUAAAUCUAGAGUGUGGUAGAGGAUAGUGGAAUUUCUGGUGUAGCGGUGAAAUGCGUAGAUAUCAGAAGGAACACCAGUGGCGAAGGCGACUAUCUGGGCCAACACUGACGCUGAGGUACGAAAGCGUGGGUAGCGAAC